Non-coding RNA from Acanthosepion pharaonis, 103 nucleotides. The record is from the annotation of a GenBank genome assembly. Lineage: Eukaryota; Metazoa; Mollusca; Cephalopoda; Sepiida; Sepiidae.
GUCAUAUCACGUUGAAACACUGGUUCUCGUUCGGCCACGGAAGUUAAGCAACGUCAGCCUGAUCAGUACCUAGAUGAAUGACCGCUUGAGAAUACCAGGUACU